UCGCUCCUACCGAUUGGGUGUGCUGGUGAAGUGUUCGGAUUGGCAGAAGCGGGUGGCAACACCUGCUACUGCCGAGAAGUUCAUUAAACCCUCCCACCUAGAGGAAGGAG
RNAcentral lists this ribosomal RNA (110 nucleotides) under uncultured eukaryote. Its description in RNAcentral is "partial small subunit ribosomal RNA". It matches the Rfam family "Eukaryotic small subunit ribosomal RNA", at positions 1676 to 1785 of the family's 1831-position model. The record is from RNAcentral.